AGCAGCCGCGGUAAUUCCAGCUCCAAUAGCGUAUAUUAAAGUUGUUGCAGUUAAAAAGCUCGUAGUUGAAUUUCGGGGUUAGUAGGUUGGUCAUGCCUCUGGUACGUACUGGUAUUAUUGAUUCCUACCUUCUGACGAACCAUGAUGUCAUUAAUUUGGUGUCAUGGGGAAUCAGGACUGUUACUUUGAAAAAAU
RNAcentral lists this ribosomal RNA (195 nucleotides) under uncultured Glomus. RNAcentral's name for it is "partial 18S ribosomal RNA". It matches the Rfam family "Eukaryotic small subunit ribosomal RNA", at positions 569 to 766 of the family's 1831-position model. The record is from RNAcentral. Lineage: Eukaryota; Fungi; Glomeromycota; Glomeromycetes; Glomerales; Glomeraceae.